Molecule: non-coding RNA, 2283 nt
Organism: Oryctolagus cuniculus (rabbit)
Lineage: Eukaryota; Metazoa; Chordata; Mammalia; Lagomorpha; Leporidae
Source: RefSeq, a predicted model, not a curated record
GUUUCCGGUGUGUCUCCCAGGGCUAUGGCCCCGGCUGGCUCCGGGAAGGUCACCGACGUCAGAAGUCAGAGACGUCACCGGGCACAGACAGCUGAGGCCAAGACGGUGGCUGCAAAGGGGGAAGCUUUUUAUAGCCCGGCCUGGGAGGAAACACUGAUAACCAGGGGAGACCUGCCCACGUGGCUGUCUGUCUGCUUCGCUCUGUUGGGAAAACUCUCGCCCUGCUUCUUUGAGAGCCUCCUGGGGCCUGCCUUAUCUUGCCCAGCUGCGGGACAUCCAGUCUCUAGCCAGCGACCUGACAUCUGGAGACACCAAGUAUCAUCGUAUUUCACCAAUAGGGAAAAGUGGGAAGGAGCAGCUAGGAGAGAGACCCAGAAGUACCAGCAAGAGGAAAGACGAGGAAUGGAGUGUCCCAGAGAGGUCAGCGAUACAGGGAGAUCAGCGAGGUUGAAGGUUCCUCAUCUGAAAAGAAGGAUACAGAGUUGUGAAGAUUCAAUGAGACAAUAGGCAUAGAAAGCACAUGCAUAGCCAUCACUGAUCAUUUCUAUGUGUUGGACACUAUAUUAAGUGAUUCAUAUUUUUAAAAAAAUUAUUAAGCUUAAUUUUAUGUAUUUAUGGACUUCGCUGUGACAUCUCAACGCAUAUAUACAAUGUGUGCUUCUCAAAACAAGCACCUUCCAUCUUUGGUGGUCAGUUCUCACACCCCAGUUUUUCCUGAAAAAGGUUGGAGCUUCAAUUAACACAGGACAUUGGCAGUGGUGCCAUGACACAGAAGCAGAAGAAGCAUUCAUGACCACUGACCUGGAACCAGAUUCCAUAAUGUGGUCCCGUGUUUAAGGACUGAGUGGUCCCCAUUGGACAGCAGCAUACGCGGUUACCUUCAUUUCUCAUGACUUCUGUGGAAGUUGCUCUUCCAAGGGCCUUCAUGGACACCAAAACCUACUUCUAUCCUCAUCAUCUCAGAACUGAAAACAUUUUUUAUAUGCAGGUUUUCCCCAAGCAUCACAUCUGAGAACAGCAUUGCUCUCAACUGCCUGUAAGACUUGACUCUCACUUCUGAGAAAUACAAGUACAUAAAGAGACGUAUGUGACCACUUAUGAUUCCUUAGAAACAAGAACAACUGCCAGAUCAGAGGUGAAGAAUGAUGUCAGUAUUUUGUGAGCCAGAAUCAUGCCCAAGCUGAGCCUCGGAGAUGGAGGCAUGAAGGAGCAAUCAAGAGAAAACAGAGGAACCUGCUCUGUAAAGAAAACAGAACGGAUGGUGGAGGCUAGAAACUGCAAGGUCUGAGACCAGGAGCCAUAGACUUCCCAGUUCUCAGCGGGAAUGGCUUGCCCUCAUUGGCCUUCAUUUGUGUUUUCAUUCCCUUGUAUCCUUUCUCUUCUCAUUAAAAUUCUGAGUGGGUCUCUGUUCCUUGACAUGCCAUAAUUCACCAAAAUCUAUAGAUGCCAGUUAUUUAAUCUUACAGUGCAGGGCAGGGACUGGCCCUGUGGCAUUGUAGGUUAAGCCUCUGCCUGAGGGGCUGGCAUCCCAUAUGGGCGCCAGUUCGAGUCCCAGCUGUUUCACUUCCAAUCUAGCACCCUGAGAUGGCCUGGGAAAGCAGUAGAAGAUGGCCCAAGUGCUUGGGCCCCUGCACACAUGUGGGAGACUCUGAGGAAGCUCCUGACCCCUGGUUUCAGAUCAGCUCAGCUCCAGCCAUUGCAGCCAUCUGGGGAGUGAACAAGCAGAUGGACAACCUCUCUCUCUGUCUCUCCUUCUCUUUUUCUGUAACUCUGACUCCAAAAAAAACAAAUAAAUAUUAAAAAAAAAAAACUCAUAGUGCAACUCCUGUCCAGGUGACUCUAUCAGUAAGGGCCCCUACAGCAAAUAUGUAGACGCAAACUCAACUUCGACAACUUGAAGAUUUAUAGUAACAGUUUGCAGAAAUGUGAGAUAGAAUGGAGCUGCAAGGGGUAGUACAGUGACCCAGGAGAAUUAACUGGUUUACCACACCUGGGCCUGCAAGGCUGUAUAGGGAAGGAGGCGUCUCAUGCAGAGAAAUGCCUAGAGUAGGGGCAAUGACUUAGUUCAGGGAACACAGCCAGCCUAAGGCAACCUCACUGGGAAGGGUUAGGGGAAAUCCAUCCCAACCGCAGUCUCCUCCCUCCAGAGUCCUCCUAGGGCUCCUCAUUGGCUGAGGCCCUCAGAAGCCACAGAGUUCAAAGAAGAUGACUGAUGUGUCCAUACAGAGGAACUUCAAAAGUUUCAUAGAGGGGCCAGCACUGUGGCAUAGAGGGUUAAGCCAC